UGGGGAAUUUUGGACAAUGGGCGCAAGCCUGAUCCAGCCAUGCCGCGUGCGGGAAGAAGGCCUUCGGGUUGUAAACCGCUUUUGUCAGGGAAGAAAUCUUCUGAGUUAAUACCUCGGGAGGAUGACGGUACCUGAAGAAUAAGCACCGGCUAACUACGUGCCAGCAGCCGCGGUAAUACGUAGGGUGCAAGCGUUAAUCGGAAUUACUGGGCGUAAAGCGUGCGCAGGCGGUUUUGUAAGACAGAGGUGAUNNCAGGUCUGCAACCUGGGAACUGCCUUGUGACUGCAAGGCUUGAGUGCGGCAGAGGGGGAUGGAAUUCCGCGNGUAGCAGUGAAAAUGCGUAGAUAU
This 349-nucleotide ribosomal RNA is filed under the name uncultured bacterium. RNAcentral's name for it is "partial 16S ribosomal RNA". It matches the Rfam family "Bacterial small subunit ribosomal RNA", at positions 355 to 697 of the family's 1533-position model. The record is from RNAcentral.